UCCCGUUUAGCUCAGUUGGUAGAGCGCGUCACUAGUACUUCCUAAUAAAGAAGGCAUGACGAGGUCAGUCGUUCGAGUCGGCUAAUGGGAA
Molecule: transfer RNA, 91 nt
Filed under: Cubamyces sp. BRFM 1775
Lineage: Eukaryota; Fungi; Basidiomycota; Agaricomycetes; Polyporales; Polyporaceae
Description: Leiotrametes sp. BRFM 1775 tRNA-Thr
Rfam family: tRNA
About the family: Transfer RNA (tRNA) molecules are approximately 80 nucleotides in length. Their secondary structure includes four short double-helical elements and three loops (D, anti-codon, and T loops).
Source: RNAcentral